Molecule: unclassified non-coding RNA, 240 nt
Filed under: Synechococcus sp. KORDI-99
Lineage: Bacteria; Bacillati; Cyanobacteriota; Cyanophyceae; Synechococcales; Synechococcaceae
Description: partial 16S ribosomal RNA
Rfam family: Bacterial small subunit ribosomal RNA
Source: RNAcentral
CAGAUCGUAGGCUGCAACUCGCCUACGUGAAGGAGGAAUCGCUAGUAAUCGCAGGUCAGCAUACUGCGGUGAAUACGUUCCCGGGCCUUGUACACACCGCCCGUCACACCAUGGAAGUUGGCCACGCCCGAAGCCGUUACUCCAACCCUCGGGAGGAGGACGUCGAAGGUGGGGCUGAUGACUGGGGUGAAGUCGUAACAAGGUAGCCGUACCGGAAGGUGCGGCUGGAUCACCUCCUAA